GACGGAGGAGGCAAGCGUUAUCCGGAAUUAUUGGGCGUAAAGGGCGCGUAGGCGGCCUAGCAAGUCUGGUGUGAAAGCCCAGGGCUCAACCCUGGAAGGGCACUGGAAACUGUUAGGCUUGAGUUCCGGAGAGGAGGGGGGAAUUCCCGGUGUAGCGGUGAAAUGCGUAGAUAUCGGGAGGAAUACCGGUGGCGAAGGCGCCCCUCUGGACGGAAACUGACGCUGAGGCGCGAAAGCGUGGGGAGUAAACAGG
RNAcentral lists this ribosomal RNA (253 nucleotides) under uncultured bacterium. RNAcentral describes it as "partial 16S ribosomal RNA". It matches the Rfam family "Bacterial small subunit ribosomal RNA", at positions 524 to 776 of the family's 1533-position model. The record is from RNAcentral.